Clupea harengus (Atlantic herring) is the source of this 470-nucleotide long non-coding RNA. Lineage: Eukaryota; Metazoa; Chordata; Actinopteri; Clupeiformes; Clupeidae. The record is from Ensembl.
UUACUGUUCUAGGGGUUAGAGUACUGUUCUAGGGGUUAGAGUACUGUUCUAGGGGUUAGAGGUUAGGGUACUGUUCUAGGGGUUAGAGUACUGUUCUAGGGGUUAGGGUACUGUUCUAGGGGUUAGAGUACUGUUCUAGGGGUUAGAGGUUAGGGUACUGUUCUAGGGGUUAGAGUACUGUUCUAGGGGUUAGGGUACUGUUCUAGGGUUUAGAGUACUGUUCUAUGGGUUAGGGGUUAGAGUACUGUUCUAGGGGUUAGGGUACUGUUCUAGGGUUUAGAGUACUGUUCUAGGGGUUAGGGGUUAGAGUACUGUUCUAGGGGUUAGGGGUUAGGGUACUGGUCUAGGGUGUGUGUGUGUGUAUAUGUGUGUGUGUGUCUCCAAGUGUGUGUGUGUGUGUGUGUGUGUGUGUGUGUGUGUGUGUGUCUCUAAGUGUGUGUGUGUGUGUGUGUGUGAGAGAGCUCUGUGUU